This 484-nucleotide ribosomal RNA is filed under the name uncultured bacterium. RNAcentral describes it as "partial 16S ribosomal RNA". It matches the Rfam family "Bacterial small subunit ribosomal RNA", at positions 30 to 507 of the family's 1533-position model. The record is from RNAcentral.
AUUGAACGCUGGCGGCAGGCCUAACACAUGCAAGUCGAGCGGAUGAAGGGAGCUUGCUCCUGGAUUCAGCGGCGGACGGGUGAGUAAUGCCUAGGAAUCUGCCUGGUAGUGGGGUAUAACGUCCGGAAACGGGCGCUAAUACCGCAUACGUCCUGAGGGUGAAAGUGGGGGAUCUUCGGACCUCACGCUAUCAGAUGAGCCUAGGUCGGAUUAGCUAGUUGGUGGGGUAAAGGCCUACCAAGGCGACGAUCCGUAACUGGUCUGAGAGGAUGAUCAGUCACACUGGAACUGAGACACGGUCCAGACUCCUACGGGAGGCAGCAGUGGGGAAUAUUGGACAAUGGGCGAAAGCAUGAUCCAGACAUGCCGCGUGUGUGAAGAAGGUCUUCGGAUUGUAAAGCACUUUAAGUUGGGAGGAAGGGAAGUAAGUUAAUACCUUGCUGUUUUGACGUUACCAAAAGAAUAAGCACCGGCUAACUUCGUG